RNAcentral lists this unclassified non-coding RNA (388 nucleotides) under plant metagenome. RNAcentral describes it as "partial contains 5.8S ribosomal RNA, internal transcribed spacer 2, and large subunit ribosomal RNA". The stretch from base 1 to 104 matches the Rfam family "5.8S ribosomal RNA", at positions 51 to 154 of the family's 154-position model. The record is from RNAcentral.
AAAUGCGAUAAGUAAUGUGAAUUGCAGAAUUCAGUGAAUCAUCGAAUCUUUGAACGCACCUUGCGCCCUUUGGUAUUCCGAGGGGCAUGCCUGUUUGAGUGUCAUUAAAUACCAUCAACCCUCUUUUGACUUCGGUCUCGAGAGUGGCUUGGAAGUGGAGGUCUGCUGGAGCCUAACGGAGCCAGCUCCUCUUAAAUGUAUUAGCGGAUUUCCCUUGCGGGAUCGCGUCUCCGAUGUGAUAAUUUCUACGUCGUUGACCAUCUCGGGGCUGACCUAGUCAGUUUCAAUAGGAGUCUGCUUCUAACCGUCUCUUGACUGAGACUAGCGACUUGUGCGCUAACUUUUGACUUGACCUCAAAUCAGGUAGGACUACCCGCUGAACUUAAGC